GCUGUGAUGGCCAAGUGGUUAAGGUGUUGGGCUAACACCCCAAUAGGGUUCCCUCUGCAGGUUUACAUCCUGCUUGCAGGC
This 81-nucleotide transfer RNA is filed under the name Pelodiscus sinensis (Chinese soft-shelled turtle). It matches the Rfam family "tRNA". Rfam says of the family: Transfer RNA (tRNA) molecules are approximately 80 nucleotides in length. Their secondary structure includes four short double-helical elements and three loops (D, anti-codon, and T loops). Further hydrogen bonds mediate the characteristic L-shaped molecular structure. tRNAs have two regions of fundamental functional importance: the anti-codon, which is responsible for specific mRNA codon recognition, and the 3' end, to which the tRNAs corresponding amino acid is attached (by aminoacyl-tRNA synthetases). tRNAs cope with the degeneracy of the genetic code in two manners: having more than one tRNA (with a specific anti-codon) for a particular amino acid; and 'wobble' base-pairing, i.e. permitting non-standard base-pairing at the 3rd anti-codon position. The record is from Rfam by way of RNAcentral. Lineage: Eukaryota; Metazoa; Chordata; Testudines; Trionychidae.